GAAAGCCGGAUUCGGGAAAACCGACCGUCCGGUUUGAUGAGGGGGAACUGGAGAUAGAGCCUCACGGUCACUACGCCAGUUCUCUACUCUAC
Molecule: non-coding RNA, 92 nt
Organism: Nitrospirae bacterium RBG_13_41_22
Lineage: Bacteria; Pseudomonadati; Nitrospirota
Source: Rfam